This 16354-nucleotide long non-coding RNA is filed under the name Citrus maxima (pomelo). RNAcentral's name for it is "long non-coding RNA (CMAX_LNC001022)". The record is from RNAcentral. Lineage: Eukaryota; Viridiplantae; Streptophyta; Magnoliopsida; Sapindales; Rutaceae.
UCUGAUGUUUACAGUUAUGGAAUGAUGCUGUUAGAGAUGGUCGGAUGCAGAAAAAAUAACGAUCCUGCGGUUGAAAUUCAGAGCCAAAUAUAUUUCCCAGAGUGGAUUUACAAUAGAAUGAGGCAAGGACAAGAGCUCUGUUUCGAUUUUGAGGAAGAUGGGGAUGAGGGAAUUGCCAGAAAGCUUGCAAUUGUGGCACUUUGGUGCAUUCAAUGGAAUCCCACGGAGAGACCUUCCAUGCCAAUUGUAUUACAAAUGCUUGAAGCUGAUUUACAAAGCUUGGAGAUCCCUCCAAUGCCCUUUGUUUCUGCUGAUGUUGAGGCAGGUGCAAUCAAUUGAUCUAGAUAGCAGAAGAUUACAAUCAAAAAGGGAUAUUGUUAAUUUGUUUCAAAUUUUCCCCGAUUAGAAGCUAAAUUAUUUAGUCCUUCUUGUUAUUGGAACGCUUGAAAACCACUAAAUUGAGUUUUUGUUUGACUGUGGUUGUUUUAUUUAUCGCUUAAAAUCUUUGAUGUGUUCGAAUGAUACAACAUUAAUACAACUAUGGAUGACUUUAGUCUAUUUUUAAACACAUCAUUGAAAAAAAAAUUAAGCAUAACUAUCGCUGAAAGAGCAUUCCUUUAUUGAUAGGCUUAUAGUUCCCAAGGAGGGUAGUUGGCAGAAACUCCAUGAGCUAGGUUGCUUUAGAAAAGGCUCGCGGGAUCGAGUAUUUACAGAACGGAUGUGAUGUGUGCAGUCUUCAUUUCAACAUUUAAGUCUCACAACAUCCUGCUAGAUCCUAAUUCCUUCCCCAAGGUCUCAGAGUUCGGCCCUUGCAAAAUUUCAUCCUAAGGAAAAUGAUUUUGCUCCCAUCAGCGCCACAGGAGGAACAAUAUAUAGGUUAAAAUAUUACCUGAGCUAUGACUAAGGCGCUGAUCGCUCCUCUGUGACAAAAAGUUUUGGAAAUUUUAGAAGGGAGUAUUGACGAUUUGCAAAUGCCUCCAAAACCUUUCUCAUCUUCUUCUCGACAUAUAUCCGGAAGAGAGAUUGAAUCAGAUUCUUCAACAGAGUUGUUAAUGUCUGAAUCAGUGAAGGAAUGAUCUUUCGGUGAUAUUUAGGUUUAAUUUUGCCAAUGAUGAAUGUAAAAUGAAUAAAUGAAUAACGUGCAAUUAAUGACAAAUUGCUUUAUCUCGAAUUGGAGCCUAAUGUACACACGUUUCGCGAGUGAUAGAUAAUUUAGUUGUUGAAAUCUUUUGAGUUGAUACAACAAGUUUGAGAUUUGAAUCUGUCCAUAUGGGUGGCAGAAGAAUUUAACUAGAGGUGUGCCAAGCUUAACUUAAAACUCUGAGGUGGCCACUUGGGCUUGUAGCCCAGUGGUGAAUCAUUGUCCUUAAAAUUAAGCAUGACUAUGAGGGCAAUGGUUUGAGUACCCACAGACUCAAAAACUCCCUCAAUAUUAAGUAUAAUUGUGUGGAGAUUACUUAUAACGUCUUUCUCCCUUGCGAAAUGCGAGUGGAGUAAAGACAUCCCUCCCCCGUGAAGGGUAUUUGGCUGGACAUGUACUUCAUAGAAUAAAAAAUGUAAUAAUAUAAGUUCCAGAUAUAUAAUGACCUGCUAUCAUAGCAGUUGUAAAUAUCUCUAUGACUUGGCUGGUUAUGUACUUCAUAGAAUAAAAAAUGUAAUAAUAUAAGUCUCAUGUAUAUAAUGACCUGCUGUCAUAGUAGUUGUAAAGAUCUCUAUGACCUGCUGUCAUAGCAGUUGUAAAUAUCUCUGUGUAAUAUAAUAACUUGAUGUUUAAUCAGUUCAAAAAAAAAAAAAAAGCUCUGAGGUGGAAAUUUUCUUCAUUAUUUUACCCCCUCAUUGAAAAGUAAUCACAAAAAAUCAGGUCAAUGGCUUCAUUUAGCUUAUUCUUUAUUAUUGUUUUAUGCAAAUGUCAUGGAGGACUACUCACUUGUGGGGUUGCCAUUGACUUAAAUAAAAUGCUUUUAAGCCAUACAAAAAUGAAUGGCUAUCUUUAAUGUUACACUAAAAAACAUCUCUCUUUCUCUGUUAAUCCAUGUCACUUUUUCUGAGUUCAAUAAUUUUCUUCCUUCUCUUCCUUACACAGAAGCCAAAACUUCAUAAGGAAACAGCUAUACAAAUAUUUAUGAACGUUGUCAACCAACAAAAUGAAACAUACCAUAUCAGAUUCCCCCUUUAGAAUCAAAUUUAAAUGAUUAAGAUUGCUGAUGAUAACACAGACCCUACUAAGUUUAAUAAAUUAUUACAAUUUACACACGCACUCUCUAUAUUAUUAUACCCUUUAUUUGAACAACCAAAUGUACUUUAUAAUAACUACUAAUAUAACAUUGAAACAAAAACAAAUGUAAUAAAUAAAAUUAUCAUAUAUUUUAUAUAUCAAAGCAUGUUCUGUGUUGUCAUAAAAAAAAUGAAUUAUUGUCUUCGAGUUUGUGGUGAGAAAUUAAAGUAGCGAGCGAAAGAUGUUGACUGGAUUGUUGCAUGCGUGGAAAUUGUUACAAAAUUUUUGUCUCAAUUUGAAGGUUUACUAAGAAAUUUCAGGUCAAGCUAGGGUCAUCAUCACCGACACAAACUUGCAAUCAAAACGUUUACUAAGAGUUGACUGACUUGUAAGAGUGUCCGGUGUCCCCUCUCGAAUGGAUGCUAAAAGUCUUGCGCUCAAACAAAUUCAAUUAAUAUGCUCUUUGAAACCUUUUCAAUUUCCCCACCUUUGUUUAUUAUUUUUUAAAAAAAUAAGAUAAUACUACUUUUGAACGAUUAAUUAUUGCUAUAUCAUCUUCAGCUAGUAGAAUCAGAUAGUUGAAUGCUAUAAUAAAUUUACUAUAUACACGUGCUCGUUGUUAAGUAAUGAUGUAAAUGCGCACCCAAAACCUUGAAAAUGCAACCUUCGGUUUAAUUUAUUGAAAUUCAUCGUAUCCUGGGAUUGCGCUAACAAUGAGUGGAGAAGAAUCAUUAACUCUCUCAACUCUUCUGUUUUGUCUAUUGAUCUAUCUAUUCACCACUGAAACUGAAGCAAGAGAAGUACUUCAACAAACCUGUUCCUCUUCUUGUGGCGAUAUCAAAAAUAUAAGCUACCCUUUUCGCCUAAAGGGAGAUCCAUCGGGAUGCGGUUAUCCUGAGUUCGAACUGUCUUGCUAGAGCAACCAAACCAUCCUAGAAUUAUUCAAUUCUGCGAUGUACUAUGCAAAGAGAAUUUCCUAUGACGAAAGCACAAUCAGUGUUGCCGAUGUUAACUUGGGCAAUGGAAGCUGCGGCCUUCCAUUCACAUCUUUUCCCAGAGAAAUCUUUCGCCUUAAAAAUAGUCGCUAUUUUUUUUAUACCGAUCGGGUUUAUGCACUUGAUUAUUAUAAAUACCUGUACGCCUAUUUCGUGAAUUGCUCGAGGGAUCUCAUUGAUCAGGCUUUUAUAAGAGUUCCAUGUUUGAGUGGAGGAAAUCGGUCAAAUGUUUAUGUUAAUUACCAUGGCUCCUAUGUAUCAGAUUUUUCAGAGUCAUGCUCGUUCGUUUCAAUGGUUCCUGUACAUAAUGGGAAUGUGGAAAAUCCUUCUUAUGAAACCCUCCGAGAAUUGUUAGAGACAGGAUUCGAUCUUAGAUGGUCAGUUGGAUGCAGGAAUUGUUAUGCAGCGGUCGGUAGAGAAUGCAUUAGUACAGAUAGAACGGGAAAUAUUGAUUGUUUCCAUUCUAGCUCAAUUACAAACCGUAAGCUUAUGCUUAUAUGUGCUUACAAAUAAAUGGAGACUCUUGUAUUUAAUGUUUUCAAUCUUAAUCUUUUACCUAUUUAAGAAUUUGUGGACAAUCUCUAAAAGAGUAUGUAUACCUGUUUGACCCUUAAUAUCUUUUUCUUUUGCACUUUUGCAGUCUUUGCAGGAUGCCACAUCGCACAAGGAGUAUUCAGAAAAUUUAUUUGCUACCAACAACGUUUGACACGUAACAAGCCUAUGCUUACAUAUCUUAGAUCCUGCGUUUGUUUUUGUUGGUGUUAAAGUGAUGGCCUUAUGUGAUUUGUUUAUUUAUUCUCCAAUCUUGUGCUUAAUAUAUGACUUUAAUUUCUGAAUCAUCUCUCUGAGUAUGUAUGUAUAAAGCCUAAUCUUUUUUCCUCGGCCUGCAGUUUCCUACAAACUCCCGACGCCCCUCGAAUGGUUACUGUUAGGUAUGGUUUCCUGGCUGGAAUGCCUGUUCUUGUUAUUUCGAAUUCAGCUACUUACCUAGAAUCAAACUUCCUUGUUUCCAGACGGUGCAUUCAUGUAUCUUACAAUUACUCGGUUCAUCCUUGGUUCAACAGUCUUUCUCGUGUUCCUUAUCCACAAAUACAGAACGACAUUGAAAACAAUUGAUAAUAUUGAGAAAUUUCUGCGUACCCAGCAAUCGUGGAUGCCUAAAAGGUACUCUUACCCUGAGAUAAUUGCCAUGACAAACCACUUCACUCAUAAAUUAGGCCAAGGUGGCUUUGGUUCAGUUUAUAAAGGACAACUUCAUAUCGGUCGCUUGAUUGCUGUUAAGAUGCUGGAGAACUCCAAGUUCAGUGCGGAGGAAUUCAUCAACGAAGUUUCAACAAUAGGUAGAAUUCACCGCGUUAAUGUGGUCCAGUUAUUGGGGUUCUGUUCUGAGGGAUCCAAACGAGCACUUGUCUACGAGUUUAUGCCUAAUGGAUCACUCGAUAGGCAUAUCUUUCCUAAGGAAAGUAGAGGCCAAUCUUUUAGUUGGGAGAAACUCCACGAAGUUGCUUUAGGAACUGCCCGUGGGAUCGAGUAUUUACACAACGGAUGUGAUGUCUGCAUUCUUCAUUUCGACAUUAAGCCUCACAACAUCCUGCUAGAUCAUAAUUUCAUCCCAAAGGUCUCAGAUUUCGGCCUUGCAAAGUUUCAUCCCAAGGAAAAUGAUUUUGUGUCCAUCAGUGCCACAAGAGGAACCAUAGGAUACAUAGCACCUGAGCUGAUUUCAAGGAAUUUUGGAACUGUUUCUUGCAAGUCAGAUGUUUACGGUUUUGGGAUGGUGUUGUUGGAAAUGGCUGGAGGAAGAAGGAAUUCUAAUAUGAAUGCAACUCGUUCAAGCAAAGCAUAUUUCCCAUCUUGGGUAUAUGACCAAUUAAAUAAGGGAGGUGAUUUAGAGCUUCAGAAUAUUACUGAAAUUGAAUCCAUGAUAGCAAGGAAACUGUGUAUGAUUGGUUUGUGGUGUAUUCAGGUGAAGGCAGCAGAUCGCCCCUCUAUGACAAAAGUUUUAGAGAUGUUAGAAGGGAGUAUUGACGAUUUGCAAAUGCCUCCUAGACCUUUCUUCUCUUCUUCUCGACAUAUCUCCGGAACUGGAAGAGAGAUUGAAUCAGAUUCUUCAGCAGAGUUGUUAGUGUCUGAAUCAAUAGAGGAAUGUUCUUUCAAUGAUAGUUUUGUUUAAUUUUUGCCAAGGAUGAAUGUAAAAUAAAUAAAUAAUUAAUAGAUUGCAAUGACAAAGGUUCUCUAUCUUCUUGUUGCUUUAUCUCGCAUUGAAACUUAAUGCAUAUAUUUGUGAGUGCAAGCUAGUUUAGUAGUUGAAAUCUCCUACUCAUAUAGGUGGCAAUAUGAUUUAAUUAGACGUGCGCUAUGCUUUAAAAAGAAAAUAAAAGUCUCUCGCAUUGAUUACAAACACUGGAUAGGAGUUGGAAAUUUUAUUCUGUAUUUUUAUCACACAUUGAAAAUUGAUCACAAAAAAACCAAGUAUACACCUUCGUUCAGCCUAUUCUUAUAAUUGUUGUCCACAAAUGUCAUGGAGGACUAGUCUCUUGUGGGCUGCCAUUGACUUAAAUAAAAUGCAUUUUAUCCAUUCAAAUUCCAAAAAUGAGUGUCAUUUGCUCUUUCACAUUAAGAAAUAUAUCCUCAACCAAGAAGGAAGAGUGAUUAAUAUUAGACGAAAAAGCAUCCCUAUUUCUCAUUUUCUCCAUGUCACCUGUGCUUAGUUUAAUUCUCUUCCUUCUCUUUCCUUACACAGAAGCCAAAACUUCAGAAGGAAACAAUGAUACAAAUAUUUAUAAAUUUUGUCAGCCAACAACAUGCAGCACGAAGGGACCAAAUAUCAGAUUUCCCUUUAGACUCAAAACUCAACCUAUCUCUUGCGGUCUUGAAGGGUUUGAAUUAUCAUGCUUAAACACCAAGACAGUGUUGCACCUUCCUUCCUCUGGCGAUUAUUAUGUGCAGGACAUUUCUUAUCUUCACAGCAGAAUUACCAUUAUGGAUGUACAUGAGUCCACAUGCCCUUUAAAAACCAGCCGAGCGGCUUUGUCAAAUUAUAGAUUGACGUAAAAGGGGAGAACUUAAAUUAAAUAUUUGAAUCUUAUUCUGAUUUUUUAAAAAUAAUUUAUAAGAGUUCAUAAAAAAAAGUUGUAAAUGUGUAAUUUAGAUAAAUAUGAAUACCCAAAUAAAAUUGGGCAAACUUUUAUUUUUCAUGAUGCUUUUUUUUUCCUUUAAAACCAAAAUAAAUUUAGGAUUCAUUUAUGUUUUAAUCACAUGCUUGUUUCAAAAUUUUACUUUCUUACAACGUUUUAUGAUUUUUUAAAAAAAAUGUGCUCGCAUAUUUGUUAAAUUUAAGAAUUAAAGUCCAUGAUAUUAUAUUCAUCUUUAAGUUUCUCGAACAGCUACUUCGGAAGUGAAUCAGACUAGAAGGAAAAAAAAUGAACCAAAAAACGGAACAGUUCAUGGCUUUAUGCUUUUUUAUGGACUGUGGUUGCCUCAAUGAAUAGCCCAAGUGAUUAUUGGGCUUUUAAUUCGGCUCCUAUGAAAGGCCCAAAGCGUCCACGAUGAAGCAGGUCACAGGAGCAGUCUUAAAUCUCAAUUAUGAAUCUCUCUCAACUCCUCAAGCGGGGUUUCAUUUUGAAUGCCGCCAUUGGCCUCAUUUCACAAUAUAGAUAUGCAUGCAUGGAGGAUAUAUAUACACUGGGUGUAGUUGUGUAUAUAUAACUUAUAAAGUUAUAAUUAUAUUAUGAGUAUAUCUUUCAAUGUAUGUAUGUAUGUAUAUAUGAACAAAUAAAAUAAUAACUAUACGAAAAUUUACAAGUAGCACCUGAAAAAAUAUCAGAUCACUUCAGUUUUGAGGUCCAAAUAAUGCUGCACGUUGAUGACGGAAUACAAAGAACUCAAAGAUUUAAAAUGCAUUUGAUUAAUGGCAUUUUAAUUUAUGUGCUCUCUAUUUUCUAUCAACAAAAUUUCAAAAAAUUAGCGCCAUCUACUUCAAUCAGACCAAACACAUGGACCAAAUAUUAAUGAGGAAAAAAAAACCAAUCGAUACGCUUUUGUCUCCACAAUAAUAAAUAGCUGCUGAAUGGCCAUGGAAGCGUGCAUAUCCACAGCAGCAUGGAAUUAAAGUAGUUGAUAAACUGUUUACAGUAGCAAGGACUUUGUAUGCAUGAUGCCAAUUAAAUGGUUGCGGGCUUAAAAGCAUUAAUUUAUGAAGUGCUUGUCCCUUUUAGGCUGGAGAUAAGUCAAGACUACAUUGCUUUCCCUCCUUUUCUUGUUCGCCUUUUGCAAUAGAUACUUUUUUUUUAACUGAUUAAGCAUUAGGUUAUUAUAUUACACAGAGAUAUUUACAACUCUAUUAUGACAGCAGAUCAUUGCACUGAUAUUUACAAUCAUAUAUAUACCUAAAACUUAGAUUAUUACAUUUUUAUUUUAUAAAGUACAAGCCCAGCCAAAUACCCCUCACAGAGGAGGGAUGUCUUUACUCCACUCGCAUUUCGCAAGGGAGAAGGAUGUUACAAGCAAUAGAUACGUUAUUAUAUUGUUUUUUUAGCACAUUUUCAAUGAGACUACUAUUCCCAUAUCGGCUGCCAAGUUAACCAUUUGAUCAAUAUUUUAUUUUAUGGAUUUGAAUUCGACAUGACAGAUAUUAGAAACCAAUGGCAUACAACAUGACCAAAUUUUACAUCAAUACAUACAUUAUACUAAUGCAGCUGCGACAUUUGAAAUAAGCGAUUAUUCCAUUAAAUCCAUUUACGGCAGAACUACAUACCACAUGAAACGCAAUAGGACUCGUUCCAAUGUCACAAAAUUAAUAAGAAAACAUUUCAUAGAGAGGAAAUCUCUGCGGAAGUGAAUUGCCUUCAUAAAAUAUCAUAGUGACACUUGACUCUUGACAGCAAAUAGGGCUACUCAUAGAACCAAUCUUGAAUCGGAAAUGGAGAGUUCUAAAAACCACAUGAAAAAUUAACUUUCGAAGACACAUCAAAAUGUUGCACCAAGCAUAAGAUUCAAGAUAUCCUUAGCUCGAAUCUGUUGUAUGUAAGUUAAGUGGAAAUAUCAGGACACAUUGAUUUUCUUCCCCUCUGCGCCUAACUAGUAUUAUAUCGUUGUGAUGAAUAACAUAUAAAUUGAUCUAAAUUUUUGUCAUAAACUAUAACAUUUGUACUCUAAUCUACUUGAGAUUAAUGAACGUCAUAUAUGAUUAAAAAAAUUAUUAAUUUCAUCUCUUUUGUUAUUCUAAUAAUCUAUUAUAUGCUGUUAUAUCCCAUGAUCAAACUAUGUAUUCGACUGUUAAUUUUUCAAUAUUAUUUUAUUAUAUAUUUACUUGUUUCCAUAAUCACAGUCUAAUUAAGAAUUUAUAUAUAUAUAUAUUUGGACUUUGGUGGUCUCCAUACGAAGCCCAACUCAUAUUGGGCAUUUGAAGUUUAAAUCAUUAAAAAGUUCAAUUAGUCCCCAAUGCGCAAGGAUAGACUAAUAUCCGCAUGGCAUUUUUUGACAUAAUUGAUUUGUCAAAAGUGUGUGUGUGUAUAUAUUGACACACGCGCACGCACGCAUAUAUAUAUAUAUAUAUAUAUAUAUAUAUAUAUAUAUUGUUAUGCGUGGAAUUCUGCAUAUUUUAACACGUGAAUUUACUAAUAUACUGUAUAUUAAUUAAUUGAAAAAAAUUAAUAAAAACACUAAUGGCAUAUUAGUGCCGUCACACACGCCUACAACAUAAAAACUUAUCAUGCAUUAAAUAGAACGCAAUCGUGCACACCGGAUCAUAAUUUUAAUUAUAUAUAUCUUUCUUUAUUCAUAAAAAUAAUAAUAAUAAUAAUAAUAGUAACAAUAAUAAUUACAACAGCAACCACAAUUUUUAGAAACGCGUGAACUUGACAUGAGAAGUCCUCGUUCUUCUGCGUGUCGGUCGCUUUAAAAGUGUUGGUCGUCGGGGGCCGUUCCAAAUUUCCAAUGCCGCGUUUCUCCAAUCCUGUUAAAAUAAACAAAUAAAUAAAGUAAGCCAUUGCGUUUGGUGGUGAGAAAAAUUAAGAAAGCGAAAGAUAUUGACUGGAAUUGGACUGCAUGCAUGGAAACUGUUUCCAAUAAGUUCUGUCGCUAUUAAUAUUGAAGAACGUUUACUAAGAAAUUUGAGGUCAAGCUAGGAUGGGGAUGGAUGGAUCAUCCCAACGUUUACUAAGAAAUUUGAGGUCAAGCUAGGAUGGGGAUGGAUGGAUCAUCCCAUUCCCACCGAUGCUAACUCAUUUACAAUUACCAGGAAAUUAAGCGACUUCACUUUGCCGUAUUGACUUCCCCAUUGAAAUCUGAAAGCUUCCACCUAAACAAAUCGUGGAAAGAGACUUCAGAAGCUGCGUGGCAUCCGCAUACAAAAUUUGCAGUAAGAAACGAAAUUGAACCUGUUUAUCUAGAUUUGUCCCUUUAUCUUCCAUUGCAUUAAUGCUUGAAGCCUAGCACUCAGUAAUUAAAAAUUUUCUUCCAUCGUGUCGAUUUCAUUUUAUGAAUAAUUAAUAUUAUUUUUAAACAAAUUAUUUAGCGCUAAUUAAUUCAAUCACAUAGUUGUAUACUAAACUAUGAUAAGUUUAAAGCCCGCCUCUCACCGUGCAAGUGAAACCGUAGAAAACAUAGCGCAUUAACACUUUUAUACCGUUCUGCUUAGUUUAUUCAAAUUCGUUAAUUGUAUCCUGGAAUUGGAGGAGCAAUGAGUAGUGACGAAGCUUCAAUUUUCUCAACUUUUCUGUUUUGUCUGUUGAUGUUUGUAUUCAUCACCAGUGAAAUUGAAGCAAGAAAACUUGAAGUACAAAUGUGUUCUUCCUCUUGUGGAGAUGUCAAAAACAUAAGCUACCCUUUUCGCCUCAAGGGCGAUCCAGCUGGAUGCGGCCAUCCGGAGUUAGAACUUUCUUGCGAGAGCAACAAAACCAUCUUAGAAUUCAAUUCUAGAAAGUACUAUGUGAAGAGAAUUUCCUAUGAUAAAUGUACAAUCAGUGUUGUCGAUGUUAACUUAGCCUAUGGAAGCUGCAGCUUCCCAUCCACUUCUUUUUCCCGACAUUGUUUCUGUUUCAGAUAUUGUUUUGAUUACAAUCUUGAUUCAUACGCCAAUUACGUGAAUUGCUCGAGUAAUAUUGUUGAUCAGGCGUCUGCGAAAGUUCCAUGUUUGAGUAACAAUCAGUCGAAUGUCUAUGUUUAUUUUGGAUAUGAUUUAAUGGCCAACAGUAUAUCACAUCUUCCAGACUCAUGCGCCUUCAUUUCAAAGGUUCCUGUAGUACUUAAUAGGAGCGUGGACAAACUUUCUUAUGAAGACCUCCGAAAAUCUCUGGAGUCAGGGUUCGAUCUUACAUGGAUUGAUUGGAGCUGGAGCCUCUCAAUGCCUCUCUGUAAGCUUAUGCUUAUAUUUAUUUAUGCAUUCAAAUGCAAGGGCUUUGUUUUUGCUUUUCAAUAUUGUACGUAAUAAAGAAUUUGUGAACUAUCUCUAUGAGCAUACCGAUAUGACCUUUAAUUUCUGUUUCUUUCCACUUUUGUAACAGAUUGCAUCUGCAAUGUAGGUGUAGUGGCAAAGAUAAAUUGCCUCUUAUAUUAUAUACGUAAGCAUAUCCUUAUAUAUCUUUUUGAUCAUGUGUUUUCGACGUUAAUAAAUGCGAUGGCUUCAUAUAUUCUCUAAUCUUUACUCUAUAAUUUUUUCUGAAUCAUCUCUCUGAUUAGGAUAAAGCUUUUAUUUUUUUCCCCCCUCUCUCCAAUUACAGUUUACCGAGUAAUUUACCCAGCAAUCCUUUGGCCUUACAUAACGUACGCAUCAGGAAUGCGGAAUUGGAUAGCUUUUCUGUUAGGUAAAAUCUCCUCUCCAGGAUCCUCUUUUUAUUGCUUUGUUUACUACUAUUUACUUUCAAAUAACGUUCUCCUUACCAGGGUUUCCAUUCGAUGUUCUGAAUGUUCUGAUAAUUGGUAGAUUUAUUCUUGCUCCAAUAGUCUUUGUCGUGUUCCUUAUCCAAAAGUACAGAAAAUCAUUGAAGAGAAUUGAUAAUGUGGAGAAAUUUCUGCACAAUCAGCAAUCGUGGAUGCCUAAAAGGUACUCUUACCCGGAGAUAAUUGCCGUGACAAACCACUUCACUCAUAAAUUAGGCCAAGGUGGCUUUGGUUCGGUUUAUAAAGGACAACUUCAUACGGGUUGCUUGAUUGCUGUUAAGAUGCUGGAGAACUCCAAGUUCAGUGCGGAGGAAUUCAUCAAUGAAGUUUCAACAAUUGGUAGAAUUCACCACGUUAAUGUAGUCCAGCUAUUGGGGUUCUGUUCCGAGGGAUUCAAACGGGCACUUGUGUACGAGUAUAUGCCCAAUGGAUCACUCGAUAGGCAUAUCUUUCCCAAGGAGAGUAGAGGCCAAUCUUUUAGUUGGGAGAGACUCCAGGAAGUUGCUUUAGGAACUGCCCGUGGGAUCGAGUAUUUACACAACGGAUGUGAUGUCUGCAUUCUUCAUUUCGACAUUAAGCCUCACAACAUCCUGCUAGAUCAUAAUUUCAUCCCAAAGGUCUCAGACUUCGGCCUUGCAAAGUUUCAUCCCAAGGAAAAUGAUUUUGUGUCCAUCAGUGCCACAAGAGGAACCAUAGGAUACAUAGCACCUGAGCUGAUUUCAAGGAAUUUUGGAACUGUUUCUUGCAAGUCAGAUGUUUACGGUUUUGGGAUGGUGUUGUUGGAAAUGGCUGGAGGAAGAAGGAAUUCUAAUAUGAAUGCAACUCGUUCAAGCAAAGCAUAUUUCCCAUCUUGGGUAUAUGACCAAUUAAAUAAGGGAGGUGAUUUAGAGCUUCAGAAUAUUACUGAAAUUGAAUCCAUGAUAGCAAGGAAACUGUGUAUGAUUGGUUUGUGGUGUAUUCAGGUGAAGCCAGCUGAUCGCCCCUCUAUGACAAAAGUUUUGGAAAUGUUAGAAGGGAGUAUCGAAGAUUUGCAAAUGCCUCCGAAACCUUUCUUCUCUUCUUCUCGACAUAUCUCCGGAAGAGAGAUUGAAUCAGAUUCUUCAACAGAGUUGUUAGUGUCUGAAUCGAUUGAGGAAUGUUCUUUCAAUGAUAGUUAUGCUUAGUUUUGGCAAUGAUAUGUGUAAAAAAGAAAUAAAUUGUCCUCGUGCUACCAGAGCUUCUAUAACAUUAUGUUGAAAAAUUUCAGUACGAUUCAUUGUUUGAUGUGAAUAUUCCAAUUUUGCUCAUAUCGACCAGAAUAUGAUGUAGGUUUGUCAAGUGAUCAUGUACAUUCAUCAACCUUUUGCAAUUACCAAAAUGAUAUGCUUUGAACUCUCUGCUCCUGCUCAACUUAAUUUAGAGUACAAUUACCAAAGUAUAUGGGAGACACCUAAAUAUCACCAUACAUCCACUUUUGCUUAAUAGCUAAUAAUUCAAUCCCACAACAGUGGUGAAUUAAAAGACACAUAGUUCCCAUCAAUCCUAAACAUACCCUUAGUCUCACACUGAUAUAUCAUGGUAAGCGGAGGGUAGCUGCUAGGAAUUACCGGUUUUCUAAAGAACAUUACUUACUGAUCUUAAAAACAUAAUUUUCUCAUUUCCUACCUACAAAUUACUUUCACAACUCUCACUAAAAUCUAUAUCACAAACAGCAAGUUCCAUCCUGUUCCUCCAUGCAUCUGAUAUUGGCAGAUACUGAAGUUGACUAGUCUCUUUGGGGCUACCAUUGACUUAGAAAAAGGAGAAAAGAAAGAAGGAAAGAACAGAAGAAAUUAAAAGAAACCCAUUUUCCUACCUUUUUCCAUGACAAAUUGACAAUCAAACUCUCCUCUCCCUUAUUACUCCAAAAGCAUAACUCAAACUCUGCUCUAACUCAAACUCCGCUCUCCCUCCCUCCAUGUCCCUCGUGAUGAGUUUAAUAAUCCUCUUCCUCUUCUUACCAUACACAUGUACAUUAGCCAAAGCUUCUGCAGAGGACAACAAGACAGAUAAAUAUGAAUUCUGUCAACCAACAAAUUGCAGUAAUAGGAUCCCAAGUAUCAGAUAUCCCUUCAGACUCAAAACUCAACCAACAUCUUGUGGCCUUGAAGGGUUUGAAUUGUCAUCCUUAAGUGACAAGACAAUCUGGCAUCUUCCUUCCUCUGGUGAUUAUUAUGUCCAUGAAAUUUCUUAUCGGGACAGCAGUAUUACCAUUACAGAUGUGAAUGAGACAGCAUGCCCGUUUCAAAGCCUUAUCUCUUUCAACCUCACAAACUCCAAAUUCUUUUUUCUUCACUCUAAUGAAAGUUACGCUUUAUAUAACUGCACUGAGAAGGUUUCCCCAGGAUGGACUUCAUAUAGACGAAUUGGACCGAUCAAUUGUCUUAGCAAUGAAAACAAUCUUGUGUAUAUCAUAUAUAGCGAAUAUUUAAUGGAGGAAAUGCCUCCAUACUGCAGAAAAUCUCGAACAGUUGAGAUUCCUGGUGGAUUACCUCUGCAGGAUAUUGCAACGACGGCGAGGGCAAGACCAGUAGUCUUAGGAUGGGAAGCUCUUGAUGGAUGCUACGACUGCGAAAAAUCAGGGAAUUAUUGUGGGUUCAACACUACAAGCAAUUCGACAAUCUGCGUUUAUUGUGGGUUCAAUACUACAAGCAAUUCGACAAUCUGCGUUGCCGUUAAACACCAAAAACGUAAGUAGCCAUACUUUUUCUCAGUCACCCCUCUCUACAGUGCUUGAAAGUGAAAGCAUCGUCUCUAUUUAGCUAACAAUAAAAAUAAUAAGUUGAAUUUAUUAUCAUUGUUAUAUAUGCCGGAAAAUUUAUCAGAGCAGUGUAAAUGAAAAGAAAUAAUAAUAAAAAAAGGCUUUGCAUUAUUUUUUCAAUUGUAAAAGUGUAAUUACAAUUGCUAGAAGUUCAAAAUUAAAGAAGCCAUCUAUAUUUCACUUUUGGUUAGAUUUAGUUGAAUUCCGAUGGUGAGUUUUUCAAAAAAUUAACAAUUUGAACUGAAUUGAAAAUCCAAUCAAUUUGGUUCGAUUUAGUUAGGCUUUUUUUUUUUUAGUAAUGAUAUAGCCACAAACUCUUGUACAAACUUAUUUUGUACAAACUGAUGUGGCAUAAUAAGAUUGGUUGAAUUAAAUAUCACUUGGCCCGCAUGAUUUGUUUUUAUUAUUUUAUAUUUUCAUUUAACCAAUGAAUUAAUGCCACGUCAGUUUGUACAAAAUAAAUUUGUACAAGAAUUUGUGGCUGUAUCAUUACUCUUUUUUUUUCCCUUUGACCUGUAAUUUCUUUUGUGUUUUUCUAGUUUUUUGGCUUUUUAUUUUCUCUCAUAUAAAUCGAUGGAUUUUAUUUUUUAACCAAAAAAAAAACGACUAACGAUUCAUUUUUUUGGCGGCAAAUAUAAUUUUACCUACCCCUAAUCUAUAUGGCGAAUAUCAUUGCUAUUAAAGGCUGCUUUCUGGUAUUAGUGCCAGUUGUAGAUUGGUUAAUAAAAUGUUGCUAGCCAGGCUGAUUUGACUGUUUGAAGAAAAAUUGAUACUACUCAGGACCAAAUAGAUAGUACUAAUUUUCUCUAUCUCGUCAAUUUAAUCUUUGAAUCUUUAUAUUACAAUUAAUUUUCGUAAAUGGUGAGAGAUUGAUUAAACUCACAAUGCCUGAUAAAAGUUUAACCUAUUAUAUUUUCUUGCGCACUCAAUGAAUACAAAUUAAGAAGAAUUAUUAUACUAAUACUUUUUCUCUAUGAUUAAGUUAUUGAUGGAAAAUUUAUUGAGAAAAAAAUUUGUUCAAUCAAGUAACCCUCAAUAUUCACAUGGAAUAAGAGAUGAGGGGAAAAAAAUCAUUUUGUGAAUGCAGAAAGGGAAAAAAAAUACAUAAAGACAGAGAUUUCUAAUUGUGAUGAUUUUGGUGUUUUCAUUGUGUACUCAAGUAAAAGUUAAAAUUUUAAAAUUGAAGUGUGCAAGGCAAAAGAGUGCUUACUUUGCAGUUCAAAUAAUUUCAUCCUUUUGCUUAUUAUUAUUUUUUCAUUAUUUAGUUAAAUGAAAAUUAAUUAUCUAUCCACCCAUGUGAAGAAGAUACCUAAUUAUAAUUUAAGUUAUGAAAAAAUACCUAUAUAUGAGAUGGUCACAUGAGAGGGACUUGUUAAAACCCAAUCAAAUGAUAUUAGAGUCUUUAUGCUACCAAGUUAAGCUUGCACGGGUCCAGACUUUUAGCAUCUCAUUUCAUUGUUUGAGUUAAUUUUUUAACUAACUUUUCUUAGUUAUAUAUAACAGAUGGUCCUGGCCCUUUAUCUAUAAGUCUAAUAGCCACAGGCACAAGUAUUGGAGGCAUCACCCUCUUUGCGUUAGUGAUAUUUCUCAUUUACAGAUCAAGAGAAUCUGAAAAAGAAAAAGAGACUCAACUGAAGGUGGAGAAGUUCCUCGAAAACUACAGGACCGUCAAUCCCACCAGAUAUACUUACAAAGAACUGAAGAAAAUAACAAGCAGAUUUAAGCACAGGCUCGGUCAGGGAGGUUACGGAAGCGUGUUCCGAGGAAAACUCUUCAACGGAAUUCCAGUUGCUGUCAAGAUGUUGGAACAUUUAAAAGGAAAUGGACAAGAGUUCAUCAAUGAAGUGGCCACAAUUGGCAGGAUUCACCACUUCCACAUUGUUCGGCUUCUGGGAUUUUGCUCUGAAGGAAACAGGCGUGCUCUUAUUUACGAGUUUAUGCCCAAUGGAUCACUUGAGAAAUUCAUCUUCUCAAAGACAAAUAGCUCAAGUCAUCGUCAAUUGAGUUGGGAGAAGCUGAGGAAGAUUGCAUUUGGCAUUGCCCGUGGAGUGGAGUACUUGCACCAAGGAUGCAACCAGAGGAUCCUGCACUUCGAUAUCAAGCCUCACAAUAUAUUAUUAGACCAUAAUUUUCAACCGAAGAUUUCAGAUUUUGGACUGGCUAAGUUGUGCUCAAAGGACAUAAGCAUUGUAUCUCUGACAGCUGCCAGAGGCACUUCUGGCUACAUUGCACCUGAACUUUUCUCCAGGAAUUUUGGUGAGAUCUCUUACAAGUCUGAUGUUUACAGUUACGGAAUGAUGCUGUUAGAGAUGGUCGGAUGCAGAAAAAAUAAUGAUCCUGCGGUUGAAAUUCAGAGCCAAAUAUAUUUUCCGGAGUGGAUUUACAAUAGAAUGAGGCAAGGACAAGAGCUCUGUUUGGAAUUUGAGGAAGAUGGGGAUGAGGGAAUUGCCAGAAAGCUUGCAAUUGUGGAACUUUGGUGCAUUCAAU